RNAcentral lists this ribosomal RNA (506 nucleotides) under Salmonella enterica subsp. enterica serovar Newport. Its description in RNAcentral is "bacterial SSU rRNA". It matches the Rfam family "Bacterial small subunit ribosomal RNA", at positions 1 to 496 of the family's 1533-position model. The record is from RNAcentral. Lineage: Bacteria; Pseudomonadati; Pseudomonadota; Gammaproteobacteria; Enterobacterales; Enterobacteriaceae.
AAAUUGAAGAGUUUGAUCAUGGCUCAGAUUGAACGCUGGCGGCAGGCCUAACACAUGCAAGUCGAACGGUAACAGGAAGCAGCUUGCUGCUUUGCUGACGAGUGGCGGACGGGUGAGUAAUGUCUGGGAAACUGCCUGAUGGAGGGGGAUAACUACUGGAAACGGUGGCUAAUACCGCAUAACGUCGCAAGACCAAAGAGGGGGACCUUCGGGCCUCUUGCCAUCAGAUGUGCCCAGAUGGGAUUAGCUUGUUGGUGAGGUAACGGCUCACCAAGGCGACGAUCCCUAGCUGGUCUGAGAGGAUGACCAGCCACACUGGAACUGAGACACGGUCCAGACUCCUACGGGAGGCAGCAGUGGGGAAUAUUGCACAAUGGGCGCAAGCCUGAUGCAGCCAUGCCGCGUGUAUGAAGAAGGCCUUCGGGUUGUAAAGUACUUUCAGCGGGGAGGAAGGGAGUAAGGUUAAUAACCUUAUUCAUUGACGUUACCCGCAGAAGAAGCACCGG